GUGCCAGCAGCCGCGGUAAUACGGAGGAGGCAAGCGUUAUCCGGAAUUAUUGGGCGUAAAGAGUCCGUAGGUGGGUAACCAAGUCAGUUGUUAAAUAGUGAAGCUUAACUUCAUAGAGGCGACUGAAACUGGUUGUCUAGAGUGUGGUAGGGGUAGAGGGAAUUUCCAGUGUAGCGGUGAAAUGCGUAGAUAUUGGAAAGAACACCGGUGGCGAAAGCGCUCUACUGGGCCUGCACUGACACUGAGGGACGAAAGCUAGGGGAGCGAAAGGGAUUAGAAACCCCCGUAGUCC
This 292-nucleotide ribosomal RNA is filed under the name uncultured bacterium. RNAcentral describes it as "partial 16S ribosomal RNA". It matches the Rfam family "Bacterial small subunit ribosomal RNA", at positions 505 to 796 of the family's 1533-position model. The record is from RNAcentral.